GGAGGGCACGAGCGUUGUUCGGAAUUAUUGGGCGUAAAGCGCGUGUAGGCGGCUGGGUAAGUCGAAUGUGAAAGCCCGGGGCUCAACCCGGAAUUGCAUACGAAACUGCCUAGCUAGAGUCUCGGAGAGGAGGGCGGAAUUCCCGGUGUAGAGGUGAAAUUCGUAGAUAUCGGGAGGAACACCAGUGGCGAAGGCGGCCCUCUGGACGAUGACUGACGCUGAGACGCGAAAGCGUGGGGAGCAAACAGGAUUAGAUACCCUGGUAGUCCACGCCGUAAACGUUGGGUGCUAGGUGUCGCGGGUAUUGACCCCCCCUGCGGCGCCGGCGUUAACGCAUUUUAGCACCCCGCCUGGGGAGUACGGUCGCAAGACUA
RNAcentral lists this ribosomal RNA (374 nucleotides) under uncultured organism. RNAcentral's name for it is "partial 16S ribosomal RNA". It matches the Rfam family "Bacterial small subunit ribosomal RNA", at positions 527 to 896 of the family's 1533-position model. The record is from RNAcentral.